RNA transcript from Zonotrichia albicollis (white-throated sparrow), 1337 nucleotides. It is a transcript of the gene named DnaJ heat shock protein family (Hsp40) member C17, with no coding region annotated. The record is from RefSeq and is a predicted model, not a curated record. NCBI's taxonomy places the organism in Eukaryota, Metazoa, Chordata, Aves, Passeriformes, Passerellidae.
GCCACGCGGUGCAUCACGGUGCUUGUAGUCCAACUUUCCUGGACGGCGCGUGCCGCGGCGGAGUGAGGGGACUGCAUUUCCCAGCGACCGCGGCGCCAGGAGCGGAACCGGGAAGCGCGAAGAUGGCGGUGGAUAAGGAGCUGCUGGAGCGGGACCUCUACGGGCUGUUGGGGAUCGGCGAGAAGGCGUCCGAGAAGGAGGUGAAGACAGCGUUCCGGCAGAAGGCGCUCACCUGCCACCCGGACAAGAACCCCGACAACCCCCGGGCAGCGGAAAUUUUCCACCAGCUGUCCCAGGCCUUGGCCGUGCUCACAGAUGCAGCAGCCAGGGCAGCCUAUGACAGGGUGAGGAGGGCGAAGAAGGAGGCUGCAGCAAGGACACAGAAACUCGAUGAGAAGAGGAAGAAAGUAAAGCUUGAUCUUGAGGCCAGAGAACGGGAAGCCCAGUCCCAGGAGAAUGAAGAGGAGGAGAUCAGGAUAACCAGAUCAUUAGAAGAAGAAAUAAUCCGCCUGCGGGAGGAGGGCUCCCGGCAGCUGGAGGAGCAGCAGAGGCUGGUCAGGGAGCAGAUCCGCCGGGAGAGGGAGCAGCAGAGCCGAGGCAAGCAGGAAAGAAAUGGAGCAGAAUGCAAAAUAACUCCUAAGCUCAAGCUCAGGUGGAAAUGCAGGAAGGAAGAUGAGACUGGAGGGGGAUACUCCAAAGAUGUGCUGCUGCAGAUCCUGCAAAAGUAUGGUGAUGUGCUCAAUUUGUUGAUCUCCAGCAGGAAGAGUGGCAGUGCAGUGGUGGAAUUUGCCACGGUGAAGGCAGCUGAGAUGGCUGUGAAGAAUGAGGUUGGCCUGCUAAAUAACCCCCUGAAGAUUUCCUGGCUGGAGGGCCAGCCCCAGAGCCGCCCCAGCACCGUCCUCCCCGACAGCAGCAGCCAGCCCAGGAGCUCACAGGCGUCGGUGGUGUCGGAGCGGGACUACGAGAGCCUGGUGAUGAUGAGGAUGCGCCAGGCGGCCGAGAGGCAGCAGCUCAUCGAGCAGCUCCAGCGGGAAGACGAGGAGGAAAAGUCCCAUACUUAGCAUGAGAGGACAGCAGCGAUCCCACCAGUGCUCCUGGACACUGAUCCCAGCCACUGCCCCAGCCAUGCCCACUGCCUUGGUCGCGUUUUCCACCCUGGAACGGCUCUUUGGGGACGAGGGAAAACCAACUGAGAGGACAAGAGGAGCCGUCCCUUUGGCGUUCCUGGGAUCCUGCCGCAAGUUUCCCAAGCGAGGCCCUGCCCGUUCCCGUGCCCGUUCCCGUGCGUGGAGCGCUGCUCCCGGUGGGAGAUGCAGCCGAUGGAGCCGUGCCCAGCC